RNAcentral lists this transfer-messenger RNA (357 nucleotides) under bacterium. It matches the Rfam family "transfer-messenger RNA". From Rfam's summary of the family: Bacterial tmRNA, also known as 10Sa RNA or SsrA, is named for its dual tRNA and mRNA-like properties. Its role is to liberate the mRNA from a stalled ribosome. RNAcentral also lists the same sequence under 2 other names. The record is from RNAcentral.
GGGGGCGCACUGGUUUCGACCGGUUUACGUCGCUACCAGGUUGCGUGCCGGGGAUCCCAGGUCACCCCGCUAAUCAUCCCGGGAACGGCAUUUUACUUGCCGACAACAACUACGCACUGGCAGCCUGAUAGCUGCCCGUCUUCGUUCGGAGUGCCCGUGGCCGGGCGAAGACGCCAUUAGCGGGCUGGUCGCAACGCUGCGCCUCGGGGCCGCGCGACGAGACUUUACCGAGGCUGGCUCAGAAGCAAUGUGUCCGCGGGCGGCUGCUGAGUGAGAUCUAUGCCAGCGGACUAUGCACGUAGACGCCGGGCUCGCGCCGAUUCCGGGACGGGGGUUCGACUCCCCCCGCCUCCACCA